Small nuclear RNA from Nannospalax galili (Upper Galilee mountains blind mole rat), 123 nucleotides. Lineage: Eukaryota; Metazoa; Chordata; Mammalia; Rodentia; Spalacidae. The record is from Ensembl.
GUAUUGUAUGAAAGGAGAAGUUAACACUCCCCUUGACAAGGAUAGAAGGGGCCCUUGGGCUUAACAACAUGCAUAUGUUUAACACAUUGCUACCUACUUUGUGGCAUCUAACCACUAUUUUUG